This 1083-nucleotide long non-coding RNA is filed under the name Brassica rapa (field mustard). RNAcentral's name for it is "long non-coding RNA (BRAP_LNC003223)". The record is from RNAcentral. Lineage: Eukaryota; Viridiplantae; Streptophyta; Magnoliopsida; Brassicales; Brassicaceae.
ACCAUACUACUAUCAUUCACCACCUCCUCUGGUGAAGUCUCCUCCACCACCAUACUAUUACCAUUCACCACCACCUCCAGUAAAAUCUCCUCCCCCCCCAUACUACUAUCACUCCCCACCUCCUCCAGUGAAGUCUCCUCCGCCACCUUACUAUUAUCACUCCCCACCUCCUCCAGUAAAAUCACCACCACCACCAUAUUAUUACCACUCUCCACCUCCUCCCGUGAAAUCCCCCCCACCUCCAUACUACUACCACUCACCACCCCCUCCGGUAAAAUCACCCCCACCACCAUAUUACUAUCACUCCCCACCUCCACCAGUGAAAUCCCCACCACCACCGUACUACUACCAUUCUCCACCCCCACCGGUAAAAUCUCCGCCACCACCAUACUAUUACCACUCCCCACCUCCUCCGGUGAAAUCUCUACCACCACCGUACUAUUACCAUUCACCACCUCCUCCGGUGAAAUCUCCUCCUCCACCAUACUACUAUCACUCACCUCCUCCACCAGUAAAAUCUCCUCCGCCACCGUACUAUUACCACUCUCCACCUCCUCCAGUGAAGUCGCCUCCACCUCCUUAUUACUACCACUCACCUCCUCCUCCGGUGAAAUCCCCACCACCACCAUAUUAUUACCACUCACCACCCCCACCCGUCAAAUCUCCUCCACCUCCAUAUUAUUACCACUCACCACCUCCUCCGGUGAAAUCUCCACCACCACCAUAUUAUUACCACUCACCUCCUCCUCCGGUGAAAUCUCCACCACCACCAUAUUACUACCAUUCACCUCCCCCUCCAGUCAAAUCUCCACCACCACCAUAUUACUACCAUUCACCUCCCCCUCCAGUGAAAUCCCCACCACCACCAUAUUACUACCAUUCACCACCUCCUCCAGUGAAAUCUCCACCACCACCAUACUACUACAACUCUCCACCACCACCAGUAAAAUCUCCCCCACCUCCCGUCUACAUCUACGCUUCUCCCCCACCUCCUACCCAUUACUAGGCUCGUCAAAUUCAACCAAGUUUCCCCAUUAUUCAAGUAAGUCCCAAGGCUCCAAUAUUCUAAGUAUGCUCCAUAUC